GGAUGCCAACUGCUAGUAACGGAAGAAGAAGAGGAAAAACUUUUAGGCAGCAACAAUUUGGAUUUCACGGGACUUUUCCUGCUCCAGGGUCUGUGUGCGUGCUGCCAGUGCUAGUGACAGCCUGCGGAGCGCCCCUUGGUGCUGGGGGAACUCCUCACACAUGCGGUGCAAAAUGGUGCUAACAGUGUUCACACGCUCCAUCUGGUUCUGCAGAGUGGCUUCCACGGAUUCGCUGGUGGAUAAAGCUUGGUAGCUCCCCUCACACACACCCUGCAGCUUCUUGGCAUGGCUCUGUAGAGCCACAAGUCUCUCAGUCCCUGCUGACAAAAUCUGGAAUGAUGUUUGGGCGCUGCUUGGACAGAGAUGGACGGUAUUUCGUAGCAGUUGGCCAUUGCAUCGCAACAGGAAAGGGCCCCCUGGGUGGCAGUCAUGCUGUCCAGAUGUUGGCUGACCUCGCUGCCUUCCAGUCCCACCGCCAAUAUCUCAUUCUCCAGCCGACACAACUGAUAGAUCUACAGAGGAGGAAGAGACAAUAACAAAAUGUAUUAUUAUUAUAUAAAUGUAUCUUAAUCCUUUGCAUAUUUCAUACAAAUUGUUUGUAAUGUGUUUUUAAUGUUCCAUCAUCUGCACAUUAUAAUUUUUGCAGUUUUGGCAUCCUCUUUGCUGUUUAGGUCCCCAGCUGUACUCCUUUCUGUAAGACAGGCCCAC
Molecule: long non-coding RNA, 708 nt
Organism: Epinephelus moara (kelp grouper)
Lineage: Eukaryota; Metazoa; Chordata; Actinopteri; Perciformes; Serranidae
Exons: 4
Source: RefSeq, a predicted model, not a curated record